This 439-nucleotide ribosomal RNA is filed under the name uncultured bacterium. RNAcentral's name for it is "bacterial SSU rRNA". It matches the Rfam family "Bacterial small subunit ribosomal RNA", at positions 958 to 1398 of the family's 1533-position model. The record is from RNAcentral.
AACGCGAAGAACCUUACCUGGGUUUGAAGUGCUAGGGAAUACGGUAGAGAUAUCGUAGCUCUUCGGAGCUCUAGUAUCAGGUGCUGCAUGGCUGUCGUCAGCUCGUGUCGUGAGAUGUCGGGUUAAGUCCCAUAACGAGCGCAACCCCUGUGUUUAGUUGCCAGCAUUCAGUUGGGCACUCUAGACAGACUGCCGACGUUAAGUCGGAGGAAGGUGGGGAUGACGUCAAGUCCUCAUGGCCUUUAUGUCCAGGGCUACACACGUGCUACAAUGGUCGGUACAAAGGGUUGCAAAACUGCGAGGUUGAGCUAAUCCCAAAAAACCGAUCUAAGUUCGGAUUGGAGUCUGCAACUCGACUCCAUGAAGCUGGAAUCGCUAGUAAUCGCGGAUCAGAACGCCGCGGUGAAUACGUUCCCGGGCCUUGUACACACCGACGCAC